This 253-nucleotide ribosomal RNA is filed under the name uncultured bacterium. RNAcentral's name for it is "partial 16S ribosomal RNA". It matches the Rfam family "Bacterial small subunit ribosomal RNA", at positions 524 to 776 of the family's 1533-position model. The record is from RNAcentral.
UACGUAGGGUGCAAGCGUUAAUCGGAAUUACUGGGCGUAAAGCGUGCGCAGGCGGUGAUGUAAGACAGUUGUGAAAUCCCCGGGCUCAACCUGGGAACUGCAUCUGUGACUGCAUCGCUGGAGUGCGGCAGAGGGGGAUGGAAUUCCACGUGUAGCAGUGAAAUGCGUAGAGAUGUGGAGGAACACCGAUGGCGAAGGCAGCCUCCUGGGCCAGCACUGACGCUCAUGCACGAAAGCGUGGGGAGCAAACAGG